CUGUCCUAGGAGGGACAUCUAUAGGCCUGUCCUAUAGGAGGGACAACCAAGUACUGCAAGCUGGACAAUUAUGCAGUUUAAGACAAGUUGUAGAGUAAAUGUGACUAAAACUAAUGUGCAUUUUUCGUCUAAAGACUAAAUCAAAAAUAGCUGCCAAAAUGAACACUGGUCCACACCUUCCAGAACUCUGCAGCAGGCGAGUAUCCAGUUGCAGGCGGCCGGGGUCAGUCGAGGGCCGGCAGGCCGCCUUCUCACGCAAGCCAGCAGUUAUCCGUUGCGUGUGAGUCCUGAUAAACAAAGCGGUCGCUGUCUGCACACACAGAGAGAGAGAGAACGCUAUCAGCCCGUCGUCAUCUCCAGGGCCGCAAUUCGUCCUCCCAACUGAUCUCAGGGAGGGAGGGAGAGAGAAGGGCGAGGGGGAGCUUUAUCAGGAACACGCACCCCAUUAAGAGCAUCAUUUCAUUUGGCCAUCGCACUAUUUACGACUUGUUUACUUUUGCACUCCGUUGUGUCUGCCAGCGGGGCCGACGACCUGCUGCCCAUCCUGUCUUUCGUGGCUCUGCGGUGCCAGUGUCCUCAGCUGGUGUCUGAAUGCGCCGCUCUGGAGGAGUUCAUUCACGAAGGCUAUUUGAUCGGAGAGGAAGGCUACUGUCUGACCUCCCUGCAGAGUGCCUUGGCCUACAUCGAGUCGUUGUGCACCGGAGGAGCUCCUCAUCCUGCGGACAACCCCUUCUGAGACAAGGCGGCUCAUCCCGACUCCCCCUCCCCCCCGAACCCUGCAGGCUGUGCGGGCGCGCGUCACCUGACCAGAGGGCCUCCUGGUGCUGUGCUCUUCUCACACUGCGAGGCCUUUUUGGGAGCCGGGUAGCACUGCACUGUUGCACGUCGUUCCCGGGAUCCGUCCCGGGAACCUCAGCGCUCGUCUUGCUCUUCUCCCCCGACGGGAAGAAGCCACACGAGCCGACGCCCCUUAUCGCUCUUCUUUUUUCUUUCUCAGUGUUCUAACCAAUUUGAAAGCGCCUCCAGCUGUGCGUGCGUGUGUUUUAAAGCUGGUGGCAAAAAAAUCCACCGAAAUACAAAAAUCAGAAUUCCUGCACUUUGGGUGUUGACGGCUCCAAUGGAGGAUCACUUUCAGUUUGCACAGAGACGCUGGCUGCAGACGGACUCGCCUCCAGAGAGCGACUAUAAGAUGUGAGACACUGGGGGGGGUGGAGGUGGAGGGGGGUGGAGGCUCUACGCAGUGUCACCUCACUGUUUGUUGUAACAUCAUGCGUGUUAUGGAUGCGUACGGGUCCACGCUUAGCGAGGAACACGUGUGCUCUUAGUUGGGUAAGAUGGUUCACAAGCUUUGUGUCUGCUAUAAACGUCCGUUCUUUACAGACGUUUCACGUUUUGGAAGCUCUCCUGUGGAGUUGUUGUUGUUUUUUUGUUUGUUUUAAUGCUGGUGGCUGUUUACUUGAAGGAAUCUGGUGUUACAAUAUCACAUUUUUUAUCCUGUUCCCUGCAGAUCAAGUUCACUUGUGACUGAUUAUUAAUUAAUCAGUGUCCUCGAGUAGAUGAUG
Long non-coding RNA from Gasterosteus aculeatus (three-spined stickleback), 1562 nucleotides. NCBI's taxonomy places the organism in Eukaryota, Metazoa, Chordata, Actinopteri, Perciformes, Gasterosteidae. The record is from Ensembl.